UACGUAGGCAGCAAGCGUUGUUCGGAGUUACUGGGCGUAAAGGGUGUGUAGGCGGUCUUCUAAGUUUGGUGUGAAAUCUCCCGGCUCAACUGGGAGGGUGCGCCGAAAACUGGGAGGCUAGAGUGCGGGAUGGGAGAGUGGAAUUCCCGGUGUAGCGGUGAAAUGCGCAGAUAUCGGGAAGAACACCCGUGGCGAAGGCGGCUCUCUGGGACGGUACUGACGCUGAGACGCGAAAGCGUGGGGAGCGAACAGG
Molecule: ribosomal RNA, 253 nt
Filed under: uncultured bacterium
Lineage: Bacteria
Description: partial 16S ribosomal RNA
Rfam family: Bacterial small subunit ribosomal RNA
Source: RNAcentral